CAAUCCAAUCCUCAUCACCUAUUGUAAAGAGCAGUGCAUCAGAGACCACAGUGACUCAGCAGCACAAUUCUGACAGCUAUGAAAACACCCGUCUGAUAACCGUAACUUUUAGGUAAGGUAAAUAAUAAUUGACACAUUAGUGCCAAAUACACUCUGAAAUAGUGUUGAAUUUAACUACUUUUUCCUGCUAAUUCAUUACAAAUGGACGAGAUGAAGGCAGAUGAUCUGCUGUGGCGACCCCUUAAGCAGCCACAGCUCACCAUGCCAGUGGAAGGGCCCAGGCCUCCAGUCAUCUCCAUGUUGUGGUUUUUCAUCAUAAAGGCCAACAGCUCCCUCCAGUCAUAGCCUUCAGGGAUGGCAAUGGUGGUGACGGAGGGAAGCCUCAAAUCCUGCAGCACGUUUCAUGUAUUAAAAAACAAAAAUCUGAUCCCAGCAGAGCAACACCUCAGGAAAUGCUACACUGCAAUUGGGACUAAACAUGGCAAGAGCAUUUCAUCUUUACAAUUAGUUUCUUGAAUGUCAGAUUUUAGCAGUAGUUUUGUAUGGCAGCAGCUGAUAUUUAUCAUACAGUUUUGUAGUAUGUCUCUCUCACCUUGUCAGGAAUGAAAAGCUUUAAGCCAAGGUCUUCCAAUCCUCUGUACAGAUAGGCUGCCAACUCCUUGUGUUUCUUCCAGGACUCUUCCAGCCCCUAGAGGGAGACAGCGUGUCAGAAAGAUGAGUGGAGAUGCUGACAGGGGCCACUGAGUGUAUAAUUUGUGUGGUUUAUGUAUAAGGUGGUGAAAAGUACCACCACCAAUGUCUGGAAACAAAAUGUCUGUCCUUUACCCUCUCAGCAAGAAUUGACAGACUCUCUCUCAGAGCAAAGAAUCCUGACACAGGACCCGUGUGAUGGUAUCUAAAAGCCAGAAUAUAAUUGAUUUAAUAUUAUCUUUACCAGCAAACACUGGUGUAAUAGGUCAACACAUUGGUUUUACUUACACUCUGGCAGGUUUGCCAUCACAACCCCAGUAGUUGGCUAAAUGUGUCAUGUCAAAGAGGUAGGAUACUGGUUUUGUUUUCCUGUUAAACAUCUUGUGACUAUGAAGGAAAGGCACAAAAAGAUAACACAGCUUUGAUUGUUUGUUCACAAUUCCACAGGUUUGGGACAAAAUGUAGGCCUUGUGUAUGGAGACACACGCAGAGGUACACACAACACUCACCAUGCUCUGUCAUUAAAAGAGAUGGGAGCUGUGCCAGGAGGUGCAUUCAGAGCUUUCUGAGAACCAGUGUACAGGAUGUCAAUAAUAUCUGGAAGCACAUAUUGGAGAGACAUAUUAUAUCACAUGGGAGUGCAAGGUGCAACAGGGAGAUACAGGAUGAGCCUCACUUUUGGCAGAUGUCUCCAGUGCCAUCUAUUGGGUGACAGAGGCCAGCAGAGGAUUCUCCAUGUGUGAGGAAAAACAGGACUGGCUUGUGUUUUACUAUGGCCUGCAAAUAAAACUAAAACAUUUACCUCAUACAUUUCUGCGUGCAAGUGACCAAUUAUCGGCUUGGACCCAGACGCUAAACCCGUGGAGGAACAUUUGAGGGUCCUGGCCCGAACAGGUACCGCAGUGGAACCUCGAGUGGCCGCAGAAUGCACGCCGGCGGUGGGAUGGAGACCGAGGACAUGGAGCGGUCCAUGCGCUGCAGAAUUGGUGCGCUCCGACCCUCGAGGGCCGCUGCAGUUUGCUGGGCGAGCAGCGCACCCCGGCUGAGGAAAGACCGCUGCAUCACUGCUGCUGUGCGGGUUCCUGAGAUGUUUUCACCGUGUGAGAUCACCACCGACAGACGGAGAGACUCAGUCCGACUGUAAGAUUUGGGUGAAGAUUUAAAACAGGCCUUUGACCUGUUGGCCGAGGGGCGGUACAAUAGUACAGUAAACCAGGGCUUCUCCAUCUGUGGCCCCCCUUCAGACCUGGUAGCGACAUCGUUCCUGUGAGAUCUGGUUACAUACAAACGGCACAAAACACUUCACUCCUGGCCUUAAACUAGUCCUGUGUGACUCAUGAGAGAGGGGAUUUUUGCAUCAUAUAUCAUUUGCAUUAUAUGAUUAGAUGUGGGCGCGGAUUAGCUGCGUUCAGACCUGUAUUUGGCACCGUCUGCAUGUGAUCGAAAUUCAGCAUUGAAUUGGGCUGAGUCCGAUGUUCUGACAUGUGAUGAUCAUUUGCAUCGUAAUGUUCAUCUGAAAGAGUGAUGGAAGCUGUUUGUGAUGAAUGAUGAAAGAAUGAAUGCUCAGCGGGCUGGGUCUCUAAAUUCUCCAAGUCAGGUGUCACCUGUUGAAGCAUAGGUGUCUCACUCAGAAGAGCAAUAUCAGGGGAUAUUAACUACUGACACUAAAAGGGUUUAAUCUUUGCAUUUGCAGAUGAGAAGUGUGUUUCCUUAAUCUGACCCAAAAUGCUAUGGUUGAUUAAACCUUUUUUGCACCAAUUUUAGACUAGAUUGAUCAGACAAUGUUGGGUUGUGCUCAUUUCUGACCAAAGAACUUAAGGACAGAGGAAUGGUGUGUAGUGACAGCACAGAUUCUGGUUUGUACUGAUUUCAUUUUAAAUCUGUAAAUAGUCAAAUUUUAUUUUUUCAUGCUGACUAUGACCACUGCAGUAUGAAAAGAGCCGAUGCCACAGCUCUUCAAAAGGAUUGUGUGAUUUGUACAUGAUGGUUGUUGCUUUCAAAGUGUUAAUUUACAAUAAAUUAAAAUAUUCACACAUUUAAA
This is a long non-coding RNA of Solea senegalensis (Senegalese sole), 2731 nucleotides long. RefSeq lists it as uncharacterized. The record is from RefSeq and is a predicted model, not a curated record. The transcript is spliced from 4 exons. NCBI's taxonomy places the organism in Eukaryota, Metazoa, Chordata, Actinopteri, Pleuronectiformes, Soleidae.